This 67-nucleotide transfer RNA is filed under the name Fasciola gigantica. Its description in RNAcentral is "tRNA-Val". The stretch from base 5 to 61 matches the Rfam family "tRNA", at positions 9 to 63 of the family's 71-position model. Rfam says of the family: Transfer RNA (tRNA) molecules are approximately 80 nucleotides in length. Their secondary structure includes four short double-helical elements and three loops (D, anti-codon, and T loops). The record is from RNAcentral. Lineage: Eukaryota; Metazoa; Platyhelminthes; Trematoda; Plagiorchiida; Fasciolidae.
CAGCAGCUCAGUUGGUAGAGCAUCUGCCUGACAAGCGGAGUGUCGCCGAUUUGAUUCCGACUCAUGA